This 1025-nucleotide ribosomal RNA is filed under the name Kageronia kihada. RNAcentral describes it as "SSU rRNA". It matches the Rfam family "Eukaryotic small subunit ribosomal RNA", at positions 49 to 998 of the family's 1831-position model. The record is from RNAcentral. Lineage: Eukaryota; Metazoa; Arthropoda; Insecta; Ephemeroptera; Heptageniidae.
CCAUGCAUGUCUCAGUGCAAACUGAACUAAAGUGAAACCGCGAAUGGCUCAUUAAAUCAGUUAUGGUUCCUUGGAUCCUACUUAUCCUACUUGGAUAACUGUGGUAAUUCUAGAGCUAAUACAUGCAACUUGAGCCUGGCCCGGAAACGGGUGAGGCGCACUUAUUAGAUCAAAACUAAUCGGUCGGCGUCCCUUCGGGGGCGCCGGCCGUCUGUGAUGGUGACUCUGAAUAAAUCCACUGCUGAUCGCACGGCCCUCGCGCCGGCGACGUAUCUUUCGAAUGUCUGCCUUAUCAACUGUCGAUGGUAGGUUCUGCGCUUACCAUGGUUGUAACGGGUAACGGGGAAUCAGGGUUCGAUUCCGGAGAGGGAGCCUGAGAAACGGCUACCACAUCCAAGGAAGGCAGCAGGCGCGCAAAUUACCCACUCCCGGCACGGGGAGGUAGUGACGAAAAAUAACGAUACGGGACUCAUCCGAGGCCCCGUAAUCGGAAUGAGAACACUUUAAAACUUUUAACGAGUACCUAAUGGAGGGCAAGUCUGGUGCCAGCAGCCGCGGUAAUUCCAGCUCCAUUGGCGUAUAUUAAAGUUGUUGCGGUUAAAAAGCUCGUAGUUGGAUCUGUGUAUCGGACGGUCGGUUCGCCGCUCGCGGCGUUCAACUGACCGGUCCGGACGUCCUGCCGGUGGGCGCGCUCGGCCCUUCGCGGGGCCGGGCCGCCCGUUAACCUUCCCUCCGCGCUGCCUUUAACCGGGUGGUGCGGUGGGCCGGCACGUUUACUUUGAACAAAUUUGAGUGCUCAAAGCAGGCCUCGAGUCGCCUGAAAACUGUGUGCAUGGAAUAAUGGAAUAGGGCCUCUUUUCUAUUUUGUUGGCUUUUCUGAAAUAGAGGUAAUGAUUAAUAGGGACAGACGGGGGCAUUCGUAUUGCGACGUUAGAGGUGAAAUUCUUGGGAUCGUCGCAAGACGGACGGAUGCGAAAGCGUUUGCCAAGAAUGUUUUCGCUAAUCAAGAACGAAAGUUAGAGGUU